AGUGGCGGACGGGUGAGUAACGCGUGGGUAACCUGCCUUAUACCGGGGGAUAACACUUAGAAAUAGGUGCUAAUACCGCAUAAGCGCACAGUACCACAUGGUACAGUGUGAAAAACUCCGGUGGUAUAAGAUGGACCCGCGUCUGAUUAGCUAGUUGGCGGGGUAACGGCCCACCAAGGCAACGAUCAGUAGCCGGCCUGAGAGGGUGAACGGCCACAUUGGGACUGAGACACGGCCCAAACUCCUACGGGAGGCAGCAGUGGGGAAUAUUGCACAAUGGGGGAAACCCUGAUGCAGCGACGCCGCGUGAGUGAAGAAGUAUUUCGGUAUGUAAAGCUCUAUCAGCAGGGAAGAAGAAAUGACGGUACCUGACUAAGAAGCCCCGGCUAACUACGUGCCAGCAGCCGCGGUAAUACGUAGGGGGCAAGCGUUAUCCGGAUUUACUGGGUGUAAGGGGAGCGUAGACGGCAAUGCAAGUCUGAAGUGAAAGGCCGGGGCUCAACCCCGGGACUGCUUUGGAAACUGUGUAGCUGGAGUACAGGAGAGGUAAGUGGAAUUCCUAGUGUAGCGGUGAAAUGCGUAGAUAUUAGGAGGAACACCAGUGGCGAAGGCGGCUUACUGGACUGUAACUGACGUUGAGGCUCGAAAGCGUGGGGAGCAAACAGGAUUAGAUACCCUGGUAGUCCACGCCGUAAACGAUGAUCACUAGGUGU
Molecule: ribosomal RNA, 713 nt
Filed under: uncultured bacterium
Lineage: Bacteria
Description: bacterial SSU rRNA
Rfam family: Bacterial small subunit ribosomal RNA
Source: RNAcentral